RNAcentral lists this transfer RNA (122 nucleotides) under Aureobasidium pullulans. Its description in RNAcentral is "tRNA-Lys". It matches the Rfam family "tRNA". Rfam says of the family: Transfer RNA (tRNA) molecules are approximately 80 nucleotides in length. Lineage: Eukaryota; Fungi; Ascomycota; Dothideomycetes; Dothideales; Saccotheciaceae. The record is from RNAcentral. RNAcentral also lists the same sequence under 1 other name.
GCCGUGGUAGUGUAGUGGUUAACACACCCGAGGUCUUAACACGUGCGCAGUCAUUCGUUGUUACUCAACGCCGUGUCAGUCUAGAUCCGAGGAGGUCGCGGGUUCGAUUCCUGCUCAUGGUG